UACGUAGGGAGCAAGCGUUAUCCGGAUUUACUGGGUGUAAAGGGCGCGUAGGCGGGAUGGCAAGUCAGAUGUGAAAUCCAAGGGCUCAACCCUUGAACUGCAUUUGAAACUGUCGUUCUUGAGUACUGGAGAGGUUGACGGAAUUCCUAGUGUAGCGGUGAAAUGCGUAGAUAUUAGGAGGAACACCAGUGGCGAAGGCGGUCAACUGGACAGCAACUGACGCUGAGGCGCGAAAGCGUG
RNAcentral lists this ribosomal RNA (240 nucleotides) under uncultured bacterium. RNAcentral describes it as "partial 16S ribosomal RNA". It matches the Rfam family "Bacterial small subunit ribosomal RNA", at positions 524 to 763 of the family's 1533-position model. The record is from RNAcentral.